UUUUUGCGUUAGGGAUUGCAGCGGCAUCCUUUUUUAAUUUUAAACACGCAGCCUUGGCAAGUGGUUGAAAUUAAAAAAGAUAUAGCGAAAAGCCCGACCUAAU
Molecule: small RNA, 103 nt
Filed under: Siansivirga zeaxanthinifaciens CC-SAMT-1
Lineage: Bacteria; Pseudomonadati; Bacteroidota; Flavobacteriia; Flavobacteriales; Flavobacteriaceae
Description: Flavo-1 RNA
Rfam family: Flavo-1 RNA
Source: Rfam by way of RNAcentral